RNAcentral lists this ribosomal RNA (404 nucleotides) under uncultured bacterium. RNAcentral's name for it is "partial 16S ribosomal RNA". It matches the Rfam family "Bacterial small subunit ribosomal RNA", at positions 28 to 525 of the family's 1533-position model. The record is from RNAcentral.
GAUGAACGCUGGCGGCGUGCCUAAUACAUGCAAGUCGAGCGAAGCGGGGACGGGUGAUUAACACGUGGAUAACCUCCUAUAAGACUGGGAUAAGUUCGGGAAACCGGAGCUAAACCGGAUACUUAUAGAUGGAUCCGCGCUGCAUUAGCUAGUUGGGAAGCUAACGGCUUACCAAGGCAACGAGGCAUAGCCGACCUGAGAGAGUGAACGGCACCACUGGAACUGAGACACGGUCCACACCCCUCCGGGAGACAGCAGGAGGAACUCAGCCGCAAUGGGCGAAAGCCUGACGAAGCAACGCCGCGUGAGUGAAGAAGGCCUUCGAAUCAAAAAACUCUUUUAUUAGGGAAGCGGAGCCUAAUCAGAAAGCCACGGCUAACUACGUGCCAGCAGCCGCGGUAAUC